UCAGGACGAACGCUGGCGGCGUGCUUAACACAUGCAAGUCGAACGGAAAGGCCCUUUCGGGGGUGCUCGAGUGGCGAACGGGUGAGUAACACGUGGGUGAUCUGCCCUGCACUUUGGGAUAAGCCUGGGAAACUGGGUCUAAUACCGAAUACACCCUGCUGGUCGCAUGGCCUGGUGGGGGAAAGCUUUUGCGGUGUGGGAUGGGCCCGCGGCCUAUCAGCUUGUUGGUGGGGUGAUGGCCUACCAAGGCGACGACGGGUAGCCGGCCUGAGAGGGUGUCCGGCCACACUGGGACUGAGAUACGGCCCAGACUCCUACGGGAGGCAGCAGUGGGGAAUAUUGCACAAUGGGCGCAAGCCUGAUGCAGCGACGCCGCGUGAGGGAUGACGGCCUUCGGGUUGUAAACCUCUUUCAGCACAGACGAAGCGCAAGUGACGGUAUGUGCAGAAGAAGCACCGGCCAACUACGUGCCAGCAGCCGCGGUAAUACGUAGGGUGCGAGCGUUGUCCGGAAUUACUGGGCGUAAAGAGCUCGUAGGUGGUUUGUCGCGUUGUUCGUGAAAACCGGGGGCUUAACCCUCGGCGUGCGGGCGAUACGGGCAGACUGGAGUACUGCAGGGGAGACUGGAAUUCCUGGUGUAGCGGUGGAAUGCGCAGAUAUCAGGAGGAACACCGGUGGCGAAGGCGGGUCUCUGGGCAGUAA
Molecule: ribosomal RNA, 702 nt
Filed under: Mycobacterium sp. L2107
Lineage: Bacteria; Bacillati; Actinomycetota; Actinomycetes; Mycobacteriales; Mycobacteriaceae
Description: bacterial SSU rRNA
Rfam family: Bacterial small subunit ribosomal RNA
Source: RNAcentral